Molecule: non-coding RNA, 25 nt
Filed under: Cricetulus griseus (Chinese hamster)
Lineage: Eukaryota; Metazoa; Chordata; Mammalia; Rodentia; Cricetidae
Source: RNAcentral
AUGUUGGAUGAGAAGCUGAUCAAGU